GAUGAACGCUAGCUACAGGCUUAACACAUGCAAGUCGAGGGGAAACGGCAUUAAGUGCUUGCACUUUUUGGACGUCGACCGGCGCACGGGUGAGUAACGCGUAUCCAACCUUCCCAUGACUAAGGGAUAACCUGCCGAAAGGCAGACUAAUACCUUAUGGUCUUCACUGACGGCAUCAGAUGUGAAGUAAAGAUUUAUCGGUUAUGGAUGGGGAUGCGUCUGAUUAGCUUGUUGGCGGGGUAACGGCCCACCAAGGCAACGAUCAGUAGGGGUUCUGAGAGGAAGGUCCCCCACAUUGGAACUGAGACACGGUCCAAACUCCUACGGGAGGCAGCAAUGAGGAAUAUUGGUCAAUGGGCGAGAGCCUGAACCAGCCAAGUAGCGUGCAGGAUGACGGCCCUAUGGGUUGUAAACUGCUUUUGUAUGGGGAUAAAGUCAAUCACGUGUGAUUGUUUGCAGGUACCAUACGAAUAAGGACCGGCUAAUUCCGUG
This 492-nucleotide ribosomal RNA is filed under the name uncultured bacterium. RNAcentral's name for it is "partial 16S ribosomal RNA". It matches the Rfam family "Bacterial small subunit ribosomal RNA", at positions 28 to 507 of the family's 1533-position model. The record is from RNAcentral.